GAUGAACGCUGGCGGCGUGCCUAAUACAUGCAAGUCGAGCGAACGGACGAGAAGCUUGCUUCUCUGAUGUUAGCGGCGGACGGGUGAGUAACACGUGGAUAACCUACCUAUAAGACUGGGAUAACUUCGGGAAACCGGAGCUAAUACCGGAUAAUAUUUUGAACCGCAUGGUUCAAAAGUGAAAGACGGUCUUGCUGUCACUUAUAGAUGGAUCCGCGCUGCAUUAGCUAGUUGGUAAGGUAACGGCUUACCAAGGCAACGAUGCAUAGCCGACCUGAGAGGGUGAUCGGCCACACUGGAACUGAGCCACGGUCCAGACUCCUACGGGAGGCAGCAGUAGGGAAUCUUCCGCAAUGGGCGAAAGUCUGACGGAGCAACGCCGCGUGAGUGAUGAAGGUCUUCGGAUCGUAAAACUCUGUUAUUAGGGAAGAACAUAUGUGUAAGUAACUGUGCACAUCUUGACGGUACCUAAUCAGAAAGCCACGGCUAACUACGUG
This 497-nucleotide ribosomal RNA is filed under the name uncultured bacterium. Its description in RNAcentral is "partial 16S ribosomal RNA". It matches the Rfam family "Bacterial small subunit ribosomal RNA", at positions 28 to 507 of the family's 1533-position model. The record is from RNAcentral.